UACGUAGGGCGCAAGCGUUGUCCGGAAUUAUUGGGCGUAAAGAGCUCGUAGGCGGUUUGUCGCGUCUGUCGUGAAAGCUUGGGGCUUAACCCCAAGUCUGCGGUGGAUACGGGCAGACUAGAGGCAGGUAGGGGAGAACGGAAUUCCCGGUGUAGCGGUGAAAUGCGCAGAUAUCGGGAGGAACACCGGUGGCGAUGGCGGUUCUCUGGGCCUGUACUGACGCUGAGGAGCGAAAGCGUGGGGAGCGAACAGG
Molecule: ribosomal RNA, 253 nt
Filed under: uncultured bacterium
Lineage: Bacteria
Description: partial 16S ribosomal RNA
Rfam family: Bacterial small subunit ribosomal RNA
Source: RNAcentral